This is a long non-coding RNA of Psammomys obesus (fat sand rat), 562 nucleotides long. RefSeq lists it as uncharacterized. The transcript has 4 exons. The record is from RefSeq and is a predicted model, not a curated record. NCBI's taxonomy places the organism in Eukaryota, Metazoa, Chordata, Mammalia, Rodentia, Muridae.
GCUGCCUGCAGAACAAGAUGUAAAUUCUCAGCUCCUUCUCCAACACUGUGUCUGCCUAUGAUCUGCCAUGUUUCCUGCCAUGACAAUAAUGGAUUAAACCUCUGAAACUAAAGACACAAGUGACAGAAGUUCAAGAAGCUUUGCUUGAGAUGCCCUGGGUCCUUCUAUUGGAGAACAGGAGCAAAAAGGUCUGGCCUCAGGUAAAAACCCGUCCCGUAGUUUUCCAUGUUACCAUUUACCCUCACUUGGAACACUGGCCUUAAGAGACACCGCAUCUUCACCAGCAGCAGCAACUGGACCAAGGAGCUAAGAUAUAAUGGCUUUCCCAAGAAUUUAUAAGGGGUAAGUAUGAAAUUUAUUGGGAUAUCAAGAGGAGGCCAUAAUAAUUUGGAUCUGAAAGGACUCCCGAAGAUCCCAUGCUAAAGUCUUGGUCACCAGCCUGUGGCACUAUUGGAAGAUGAAGCAACCUAAGGUAAGAGGACCAGCCACCAAGAAGAUAAUUAUAGAGGUGCUUAAAAAAAAAACAAACUGAAAAUAGACCUACCAUGUGACCCAGAUUUAA